UACGUAGGGUGCAAGCGUUAAUCGGAAUUACUGGGCGUAACGCGUGCGCAGGCGGUUUUGUAAGUCUGAUGUGAAAUCCCCGGGCUCAACCUGGGAAUUGCAUUGGAGACUGCAAGGCUAGAAUCUGGCAGAGGGGGGUAGAAUUCCACGUGUAGCAGUGAAAUGCGUAGAGAUGUGGAGGAACACCGAUGGCGAAGGCAGCCCCCUGGGUCAAGAUUGACGCUCAUGCACGAAAGCGUGGGGAGCAAACAGG
Molecule: ribosomal RNA, 253 nt
Filed under: uncultured bacterium
Lineage: Bacteria
Description: partial 16S ribosomal RNA
Rfam family: Bacterial small subunit ribosomal RNA
Source: RNAcentral